GUUGAAGAAACCCGACUUGGCUGAAAAAUAACAAGCUAUAUCAAAAUGCUUUGCGGCUUGAACUAUCGUUGUAGAACUUUCAAAAUCUCGAUAGUAACGCAAAGAGUGUUGAACAAGCUUUUAAACAAAACAAACACUGUUGAAAGUUCAUCACAGUGCAUUCAGACCUCAAAUCAAGUAGGACUACCCGCUGAACUUAA
RNAcentral lists this unclassified non-coding RNA (200 nucleotides) under soil metagenome. RNAcentral's name for it is "partial contains internal transcribed spacer 2 and large subunit ribosomal RNA". The record is from RNAcentral.